GUCCACGCUGUAAACGAUGGGCACUAGGUGUCCGGGGUAUUGACCCCCUGGGUGCCGCAGCUAACGCAUUAAGUGCCCCGCCUGGGGGAGUACGGUCGCAAGAUUAAAACUCAAAGGAAUUGACGGGGGCCCGCACAAGCGGUGGAGCAUGUGGUUCAAUUCGACGCAACGCGAAGAACCUUACCUGGGCUAGACAACGGUGGACCGUCCUAGAAAUAGGAUCUUCCCUUCGGGGACUGCCGGUUCAGGUGCUGCAUGGCUGUCGU
This 266-nucleotide ribosomal RNA is filed under the name uncultured bacterium. RNAcentral's name for it is "partial 16S ribosomal RNA". It matches the Rfam family "Bacterial small subunit ribosomal RNA", at positions 793 to 1055 of the family's 1533-position model. The record is from RNAcentral.